Molecule: long non-coding RNA, 214 nt
Filed under: Elaeis guineensis (African oil palm)
Lineage: Eukaryota; Viridiplantae; Streptophyta; Magnoliopsida; Arecales; Arecaceae
Description: long non-coding RNA (EGUI_LNC030529)
Source: RNAcentral
AGAGAAUCUUCACGACUCUAUUGCAGACGGCAUCUCGAAAGCUCUCAGGUCGCUGGCUCAUAGCCACUACACGACCUCCACAUGUGCAUCACUCCAAGUUUGAGAUGUUGAGACCUGUGAGAACACCGAAAAAUAUCAAGCCACUGGAAGGUCGAAGCUAUGGCCGAAUCCUAUGACCCGGCUCCUACUAACCUCUCCAGUGACCUUGAGCCAU